CCUUUUGUUUUUCUUGUUUCUUAAUUAUUUUUGUUUUUUUUUUUUUACUUUCUUUUGCUGGCCAUUCUUUCUUUCGUUUCUAUUAUUCUUUGUCCUCUACUUUUCUUUCUUUGUUUGUUUUGUUGCCACUCACACUUAUUGCUCCCAAUUCACGUUUUUGUUUCCAUUUUUUCCUCUCUUCAAAUUUCGAACUAGUGUGGUGAUUGUGUGCAAUUCUAUCUUAAGGAGAAGAAUAAGAGGGAAGAGGCGAUUCUCCAGUGAUUUAAGUUCAUCUGUUGCUGUUGCGUGCUUGAUAACAUACAAUGAGUACACGUGAAACUCGUGAAUGCAGUAAUUGUGGGCACGGCGGGCGCCGAAGAGGGCUCGAGUUGAGACGCCACAAGCGUUACCGUUGG
Long non-coding RNA from Gossypium arboreum, 395 nucleotides. RefSeq lists it as uncharacterized. The transcript has 3 exons. NCBI's taxonomy places the organism in Eukaryota, Viridiplantae, Streptophyta, Magnoliopsida, Malvales, Malvaceae. The record is from RefSeq and is a predicted model, not a curated record.